This 107-nucleotide small RNA is filed under the name Marmota monax (woodchuck). The record is from RNAcentral. Lineage: Eukaryota; Metazoa; Chordata; Mammalia; Rodentia; Sciuridae.
GCCAGGCAUGGUGGCGUAUGCCUGUAAUCCCAGUGACUCCGGAGGCUGAGGCAGGACGAUUGAAAGUUUAAGGCCAGCCUCAGCAACUUUGCAAGACUCUGUCUCAA